CGAGGCGGGGGUCCGCCCCCGGCGAGAGGAGGGGGGAGUCGGGGGUCGCAUCGCCUCCCUGAGCCCAUCUCCAGUCCUCUGCCCUCGGGGCCCCGCAGACCCCUUCCACUCUGCAGUCGUGGGACAAUAAUAAUAAUAAUAACAACAACAUGUAUUGAGUGUUUAAUGUGUUCCAGGCCCUGUGUCGAGGUUUUAUAUAUGUUAUCUUUCUCAGCCUUUCCAGCAACCCUAGGAGUGAAAGUGCCUCCAUUUCAGGAUUCUGGAGAAUGAAGCAGAGAACAGAUCAGAAAGCAAAGGCACUUAGUAAAUGGGAGCAGUACAUUUACCAUACUUGCUGCUGCUAUCAUUAUAAUCAUCCUGGGAAUGUAGCUUCUUUUAUGUAUGUUCCAAUUUUUCUACAAAGAACACGUAUUGGUUGCAUAAUUAAAAACAAAAAAAUUCUUAUCACCCCAGCAAUAAAACCAGCUGUUUCACUUGA
This is a long non-coding RNA of Aethalodelphis obliquidens (Pacific white-sided dolphin), 478 nucleotides long. RefSeq lists it as uncharacterized. The record is from RefSeq and is a predicted model, not a curated record. The transcript is spliced from 2 exons. Lineage: Eukaryota; Metazoa; Chordata; Mammalia; Artiodactyla; Delphinidae.